UCAAGCUAGAAAGAGCGCAAGGCGGAUGCCUUGGCACCAGGAGCCGAUGAAGGACGCGACAAGCUGCGAUAAGCUACGGUUAGGCGCAAAUAGCCUGUGACCCGUAGAUUUCCGAAUGGGGAAACCCACCUGAGGUAAGUACUCAGGUACCCUAUGGUGAAUUCAUAGCCAUAGGGGGGGAUACGUGGGGAACUGAAACAUCUAAGUACCCACAGGAGAAGAAAUCAACCGAGAUUCCGCAAGUAGUGGUGAGCGAACGCGGAGGAGGCCAAACCAAUAGACUUCGGUCUAUUGGGGUUGCGGACCAGCAUAAUGAUUCUCAAGGUUUAGCGGAAUGAGCGGAUGGAAAACCGAGACCAUAGAGGGUAAAAGUCCCGUACGCGAAAGACUGAGAGACAGGCUGGAAUCCAGAGUACCACGAGACACGGGAAAUCUUGUGGGAAGCCGGGAGGACCACCUUCCAAGCCUAAAUACUCCCUGGUGACCGAUAGUGUAGCAGUACCGUGAGGGAAAGGUGAAAAGAACCCCGGGAGGGGAGUGAAAUAGAACCUGAAACCUUGUGCUUACAAGCAGUCGAAGGGCGUUAAAGCCUGACGGCGUACUUUUUGUAGAACGGUCCGGCGAGUUAUUGUAUAUGGCGAGGUUAAGUACUUAAGGUACGGAGCCGCAGCGAAAGCGAGUCUGAAUAGGGCGAAUGAGUCAUAUGCAAUAGACCCGAAACCGGGUGACCUAUCCAUGGACAGGCUGAAGUUGGAGUAAAAUCCAAUGGAGGGCCGAACCCACUGCUGUUGAAAAAGUAGGGGAUGAGCUGUGGAUAGGGGAGAAAUUCCAAUCGAACUCGGAGAUAGCUGGUUCUCCUCGAAAUAGCUUUAGGGCUAGCCUCAGAUUAGUCUAACGGAGGUAAAGCACUGAAUGGGCUAGGGGCCUUACCAGGUUACCGAACCCUAUCAAACUCUGAAUGCCGUAUAGAUGAUGUCUGGGAGUCAGACUAUGUGAGAUAAGUUUCAUAGUCAAAAGGGAAACAGCCCAGACCGCCGACUAAGGUCCCCAAGUCAUGGUUAAGUGGGAAAGGAUGUGGGUUUGCUAAGACAACUAGGAUGUUGGCUUAGAAGCAGCCACUCAUUCAAAGAGUGCGUAACAGCUCACUAGUCGAGUGAGCCUGCGCCGAAAAUUUAACGGGGCUAAACCAUGCACCGAAGUCGCGGAUGUGAGUGGAUUUUAUUGAUGGUACAUUUAGGUUAAGCCAUAACAGUAAUGAAAGGCAAUGUGCCACGAAUAAAAUCCACUCACGUGGUAGAGGAGCUUAAUAUACGGGCUGAAGCACGAUCGAGAGGACGUGUGGACUGUAUAUUAGUGAGAAUGCCGGAAUGAGUAGCGAGAGUGAAGUGAGAAUCUUUACCGCCGAAAAUCUAAGGUUUCCUGGGGAAGGCUCGUCCGCCCAGGGUAAGUCGGGGCCUAAGCUGAGGCCGAAAGGCGUAGGCGAUGGACAACUGGUUGAAAUUCCAGUACCACCGAUGCUUGUUUGAGAGAUGCGGGGACGCAGGGGGAUAGGUCGUGCCGGCUGCUGGAAUAGUCGGUCCAAGCGAGGUAGAUAGUCCUGUAGUGAAGUACGCAGGAUGUUUCGAAGUCGUGAUGGGGAGGGAAAAUAGAGUACCGAAGUGACUGAUUCCGCACUGACGAGAAAAGCCGCUAUUGAGAGCAUAGGUGCCCGUACCGCAAACCGACACAGGUAGAUGGGGAGAGAAUCCUAAGGCGAUCGGAAGAAGGGUUGUUAAGGAACUCGGCAAAUUGAUCCCGUAAGUUCGCAAGAAGGGAUGCCCGAGCCUGGGAAUGGUUUACUGUUUCUGGGGGAGGGCCGCAGAGAAAUGGCCCAGGCAACUGUUUAUCAAAAACACAGGUCUCUGCUAAAUCGAAAGAUGACGUAUAGGGGCUGACGCCUGCCCGGUGCUGGAAGGUUACGGGGAUCUGUUAGCGGUAACGCGAAGCAGUGAACUUAAGCCCCAGUAAACGGCGGCCGUAACUAUAACGGUCCUAAGGUAGCGAAAUUCCUUGUCAGGUAAGUUCUGACCCGCACGAAUGGCGUAAUGACCUGGGCGCUGUCUCGACAACCCAUCCGGUGAAAUUGAUGUACCGGUGAAGAAGCCGGUUACCCGCGACUAGACGGAAAGACCCCAUGGAGCUUUACUGUAGCCUGAUACUGUGUUUCGGUAUUUCAUGUACAGGAUAGGAGGGAGGCUUAGAAGCGAGGACGCCAGUUCUCGUGGAGCCAACGUUGGGAUACCUCUCUUGGAGUGCUGGAACACUAACCAGGAUCCGUGAUCCGGAUCUGGGACAAUGUCAGGUGGGCAGUUUGACUGGGGCGGUCGCCUCCCAAAAGGUAACGGAGGCGCCCAAAGGUCUCCUCAGCACGGUUGGAAAUCGUGCAUUGAGUGUAAAGGCAUAAGGAGGCCUGACUGCGAGACAGACAAGUCGAGCAGAUACGAAAGUAGGGCUUAGUGAUCCGGCGGUAUGAGAGUGGAAUUGCCGUCGCUUAACGGAUAAAAGCUACCCUGGGGAUAACAGGCUGAUCUCCCCCAAGAGUCCACAUCGACGGGGAGGUUUGGCACCUCGAUGUCGGCUCAUCGCAUCCUGGAGCUGUAGCAGGUUCCAAGGGUUUGGCUGUUCGCCAAUUAAAGCGGUACGCGAGCUGGGUUCAGAACGUCGUGAGACAGUUCGGUCCCUAUCUGUCGUGGGCGUAGGAUAUUUGAAGGGAGCUGUCCCUAGUACGAGAGGACCGGGAUGGACGCACCUCUGGUGCACCAGUUGUCACACCAGUGGCACAGCUGGGUAGCCAAGUGCGGAGUAGAUAAACGCUGAAAGCAUCUAAGCGUGAAGCUCACCCUAAGAUGAGAUAUCCCACCAGCAAUGGUUAAGACCCCAUGUAGACUACGUGGUUGAUAGGUCGGAGGUGUAAGCGUGGCAACACGUUGAGCUGACCGAUACUAAUAGGUCGAGGGCUUGACCAA
Molecule: ribosomal RNA, 3005 nt
Filed under: metagenome
Also listed under: 1 other name
Description: bacterial LSU rRNA
Rfam family: Bacterial large subunit ribosomal RNA
Source: RNAcentral